AGAGUUUGAUCAUGGCUCAGGAUGAACGCUAGCGGCAGGCCUAAUACAUGCAAGCUGAACGGUAAAUAUUGUAGCAAUACAAUAUGAGAGUAGCGUAAGGGUGCGUAACACGUAUGCAAUCUGCCCUGUACAGGAGGAUAGCUCGGCGAAAGCCGGAUUAAUACUUCGUAAUAUUAUGGAGGGGCAUCUCUUUAUAAUUAAAGUCGCAAGAUGGUACAGGAUGAGCAUGCGUCUGAUUAGCUAGUUGGUAGUGUAACGGACUACCAAGGCGAUGAUCAGUAGGGGAACUGAGAGGUUGAUCCCCCACACUGGCACUGAGAUACGGGCCAGACUCCUACGGGAGGCAGCGGUAGGGGAUAUUGGUCAAUGGGUGAGAGCCUGAACCAGCCAUGCCGCGUGCAGGAAGAAGGCCUUCUGGGUUGUAAACUGCUUUUGCCGGGGGAUAAAAUUCCCAUGCGUGGGACAUUGAAGGUACCCGGUGAAUAAGCCACGGCUAACUACGUGCCAGCAGCCGCGGUAAUACGUAGGUGGCAAGCGUUGUCCGGAUUUAUUGGGUUUAAAGGGUGCGUAGGCGGUCUUGUAAGUCAGUUCUGAAAUAUCCCGGCUUAACCGGGAGGGUGGGAUUGAUACUGCAGGACUUGAGUGGAGUCGAGGUAGGCGGAAUUGACGGUGUAGCGGUGAAAUGCUUAGAUAUCGUCAAGAACACCGAUAGUGUAGACAGCUUACUAGUCUCAAACUGACGCUGAGGCACGAAAGUGUGGGGAUCAAACAGGAUUAGAUACCCUGGUAGUCCACACUGUAAACGUUGAUUACUCGCUGUGUGCGAUAUACAGUACGCGGCUUAGCGAAAGCGAUAAGUAAUCCACCUGGGAGUACGCCGGCAACGGUGAAACUCAAUGAAUUGACCG
Molecule: ribosomal RNA, 908 nt
Filed under: uncultured bacterium
Lineage: Bacteria
Description: bacterial SSU rRNA
Rfam family: Bacterial small subunit ribosomal RNA
Source: RNAcentral